UACGGGGGGAGCAAGCGUUGUUCGGAUUUACUGGGCGUAAAGGGCGCGUAGGCGGUCAGCACAAGUCAGUUGUGAAAUCUCCGAGCUUAACUCGGAACGGUCAACUGAUACUGUGCGACUAGAGUGCGGAAGGGGCAACUGGAAUUCUCGGUGUAGCGGUGAAAUGCGUAGAUAUCGAGAGGAACGCCUGCGGCGAAGGCGGGUUGCUGGGCCGACACUGACGCUGAUGCGCGAAAGCCAGGGGAGCGAACGGG
Molecule: ribosomal RNA, 254 nt
Filed under: uncultured bacterium
Lineage: Bacteria
Description: partial 16S ribosomal RNA
Rfam family: Bacterial small subunit ribosomal RNA
Source: RNAcentral